UGGGUUCUCAUAUCUAAGAGUUCUUAGGUAGAAAUCAUACGGGUAGAGAUUAGGUGAAAAAGACUCUAACUUGUGGAGUGUAGUGAGAGUCUUUGAACUGAUUCUAUUUAGUGGAUUUCCUUCCUGGCUUGGUAGCCCCCAGAUGUAGGUGAGUUGCACCGAACUGGGUUAACAACUGCUUGUGUCUCUUGCAUUACUAUUCUUU
RNAcentral lists this long non-coding RNA (205 nucleotides) under Lathyrus oleraceus (garden pea). Its description in RNAcentral is "Pisum sativum (pea) long non-coding RNA (PSAT_LNC016039)". The record is from RNAcentral. Lineage: Eukaryota; Viridiplantae; Streptophyta; Magnoliopsida; Fabales; Fabaceae.